RNAcentral lists this ribosomal RNA (253 nucleotides) under uncultured bacterium. RNAcentral's name for it is "partial 16S ribosomal RNA". It matches the Rfam family "Bacterial small subunit ribosomal RNA", at positions 524 to 776 of the family's 1533-position model. The record is from RNAcentral.
GACGUAGGGGACAAGCGUUGUCCGGAUUUACUGGGCGUAAAGAGCGCGCAGGCGGUCGUUCAAGUCGAGUGUGAAAGCCCCCGGCUCAACUGGGGAGGGUCAUUCGAUACUGAUCGACUCGAAGGCAGGAGAGGGAAGUGGAAUUCCCGGUGUAGUGGUGAAAUGCGUAGAUAUCGGGAGGAACACCAGUGGCGAAGGCGACUUCCUGGCCUGUUCUUGACGCUGAGGUGCGAAAGCGUGGGGAGCAAACAGG